RNAcentral lists this non-coding RNA (29 nucleotides) under Mus musculus (house mouse). Lineage: Eukaryota; Metazoa; Chordata; Mammalia; Rodentia; Muridae. The record is from RNAcentral.
UGAGAGCAUCGUGUAGAAAUGGAGGCCUG